UGAGUGACCUGGAAUAAGUCUCCACCC
This 27-nucleotide non-coding RNA is filed under the name Mus musculus (house mouse). Lineage: Eukaryota; Metazoa; Chordata; Mammalia; Rodentia; Muridae. The record is from RNAcentral.